AGGCCGGUAGCUCAGCGGUGAGAGCGGCGAGCUUAUACCUCGUGAAUCAGUCGCGGGUUCAAUCCCCGCCCGGCCUACCC
Molecule: transfer RNA, 80 nt
Filed under: Actinomycetota bacterium
Lineage: Bacteria; Bacillati; Actinomycetota
Description: Actinobacteria bacterium (soil metagenome) tRNA-Ile
Rfam family: tRNA
About the family: Transfer RNA (tRNA) molecules are approximately 80 nucleotides in length.
Source: RNAcentral